This 161-nucleotide transfer RNA is filed under the name Lucilia cuprina (Australian sheep blowfly). It matches the Rfam family "tRNA". From Rfam's summary of the family: Transfer RNA (tRNA) molecules are approximately 80 nucleotides in length. Their secondary structure includes four short double-helical elements and three loops (D, anti-codon, and T loops). The record is from Rfam by way of RNAcentral. Lineage: Eukaryota; Metazoa; Arthropoda; Insecta; Diptera; Calliphoridae.
CCUUCGAUAGCUCAGUUAGUAGAGCGGUGGACUGUAGAAACGCAUACUGUAUGAUAUGCAUGGAAAACGCAUACUGUUCGUUGGCUUUCGCGGUGCCGGCAGCGAUCCCAACACUCUGUGCAGUCAUCCAUAGGUCGCUGGUUCAAAUCCGGUUCGAAGGA